This 523-nucleotide ribosomal RNA is filed under the name uncultured bacterium. Its description in RNAcentral is "bacterial SSU rRNA". It matches the Rfam family "Bacterial small subunit ribosomal RNA", at positions 777 to 1304 of the family's 1533-position model. The record is from RNAcentral.
AAUAGAUACCCUGGUAGUCCACGCCGUAAACGAUGAGUACUAGGUGUAGGAGGGUCCAACCUUCUGUGCCGCAGUUAACACAAUAAGUACUCCGCCUGGGAAGUACGAUCGCAAGAUUAAAACUCAAAGGAAUUGACGGGGGCCCGCACAAGCAGCGGAGCAUGUGGUUUAAUUCGAAGCAACGCGAAGAACCUUACCUGGACUUGACAUCCCCCGAAUAGUGCAGAGAUGCAUGAAGCCCUUCGGGGCAGGGAGACAGGUGGUGCAUGGUUGUCGUCAGCUCGUGUCGUGAGAUGUUAGGUUAAGUCCUGCAACUAGCGCAACCCCUAUCAUUAGUUGCUACCAUUAAGUUGAGCACUCUAGUGAGACUGCCCGGGUUAACCGGGAGGAAGGUGGGGAUGACGUCAAAUCAUCAUGCCCCUUAUGUCCAGGGCUACACACGUGCUACAAUGGUAGGUACAGAGAGAUGCAAGACCGCGAGGUGGAGCAAAACUCAAAAACCUAUCCCAGUUCGGAUUGUAGG